Molecule: ribosomal RNA, 497 nt
Filed under: uncultured bacterium
Lineage: Bacteria
Description: partial 16S ribosomal RNA
Rfam family: Bacterial small subunit ribosomal RNA
Source: RNAcentral
GAUGAACGCUGGCGGCGUGCCUAAUACAUGCAAGUCGAGCGAACAGACGAGGAGCUUGCUCCUCUGACGUUAGCGGCGGACGGGUGAGUAACACGUGGAUAACCUACCUAUAAGACUGGGAUAACUUCGGGAAACCGGAGCUAAUACCGGAUAAUAUAUUGAACCGCAUGGUUCAAUAGUAAAAGACAGUUUUGCUGUCACUUAUAGAUGGAUCCGCGCCGCAUUAGCUAGUUGGUAAGGUAACGGCUUACCAAGGCAACGAUGCGUAGCCGACCUGAGAGGGUGAUCGGCCACACUGGAACUGAGACACGGUCCAGACUCCUACGGGAGGCAGCAGUAGGGAAUCUUCCGCAAUGGGCGAAAGCCUGACGGAGCAACGCCGCGUGAGUGAUGAAGGUCUUCGGAUCGUAAAACUCUGUUAUUAGGGAAGAACAAAUGUGUAAGUAACUAUGCCCGUCUUGACGGUACCUAAUCAGAAAGCCACGGCUAACUACGUG